CACGUCAGUUUGACCACAAACCAUGUUUUCUGUAGCUCUGCUGCUGCUGCUGGCAGCUGGAUCCUGUGUGAAGUGUGAGCAGUUGACACAGCCAGCCUCUGUGACUGUGCAGCCAGGUCAACGUCUGACCAUCACCUGUCAGGUCACUUAUUCUCUUGGCUACUACACAGGUUGGAUCAGACAACCUGCAGGGAAAGGACUGGAGUGGAUUGGAAUGAGACAUACUGGAGAGUCACACUACAAAAAUUCACUCAAGAACAAGUUCACUAUUGACUUAGACUCUUCCAGCAACAGAGUAACUCUAAAUGGACAUAAUCUGCAGUCUGAAGACACUGCUGUGUAUUACUGUGCCAAAAAACCACAGUAA
Toxotes jaculatrix (banded archerfish) is the source of this 367-nucleotide non-coding RNA. The record is from the annotation of a RefSeq genome assembly. NCBI's taxonomy places the organism in Eukaryota, Metazoa, Chordata, Actinopteri, Toxotidae.